CGCGUAGGCGGCGUGGUAAGUCAGCUGUGAAAUCUCCGAGCUUAACUCGGAACGGUCAGCUGAUACUGCUGUGCUAGAGUACAGAAAGGGGCAAUCGGAAUUCUUGGUGUAGCGGUGAAAUGCGUAGAUAUCAAGAGGAACACCUGAGGUGAAGACGGGUUGCUGGGCUGAUACUGACGCUGAAAGCGCGGAAAAGCUAAGGGUAGCGAAAACGG
RNAcentral lists this ribosomal RNA (215 nucleotides) under uncultured bacterium. RNAcentral's name for it is "partial 16S ribosomal RNA". It matches the Rfam family "Bacterial small subunit ribosomal RNA", at positions 568 to 777 of the family's 1533-position model. The record is from RNAcentral.